AUUGAACGCUGGCGGCAUGCCUUACACAUGCAAGUCGAACGGUAACAGGCCGCAAGGUGCUGACGAGUGGCGAACGGGUGAGUAAUGCAUCGGAACGUGCCCAGUAGUGGGGGAUAGCCCGGCGAAAGCCGGAUUAAUACCGCAUACGACCUGAGGGUGAAAGGGGGGGAUCGCAAGACCUCUCGCUAUUGGAGCGGCCGAUGUCAGAUUAGCUAGUUGGUGGGGUAAAGGCCUACCAAGGCAACGAUCUGUAGUUGGUCUGAGAGGACGACCAGCCACACUGGGACUGAGACACGGCCCAGACUCCUACGGGAGGCAGCAGUGGGGAAUUUUGGACAAUGGGGGGCAACCCUGAUCCAGCAAUGCCGCGUGUGUGAUGAAGGCCUUAGGGUUGUAAAGCUCUUUUACCCGGGAUGAUAAUGACAGUACCGGGAGAAUAAGCUCCGGCUAACUCCGUGCCAGCAGCCGCGGU
This 472-nucleotide ribosomal RNA is filed under the name uncultured bacterium. Its description in RNAcentral is "bacterial SSU rRNA". It matches the Rfam family "Bacterial small subunit ribosomal RNA", at positions 30 to 521 of the family's 1533-position model. The record is from RNAcentral.